CUCUAUGAGCUGGAUUGAAACAAGUUUGAUAACAUCUGAAGUCAUGAUGAUUUUUGUUUUAAAGAUAAAAUUAGACUGUUUGGUCCAGCAGUUAACUGAACCUUUUUAGAAAGUCCAAUGAACACAUGGAUGCAGGCCUCAAAUGUCAUAAAAGCCAGCUGUUUUAUAAAGGAAAAUUGAUCUGAUCUCAGGUCUCUCUCCCCCCCCAAAUCAGAUUGGUCAGGAGGGUCAUGUUACAGGUCUCAUCCAUCAUCUGGCAGAAGCCUGGAAAAGAGACUUUUCUGUUGUGGUGCCUGCCCUGUAUCUCAACAUCUCCCAGAGAUCACAAUGGGCCCAACCCUGUUGGCCUUUCACAAAGCCCUGGAGAUGUGGAUUUGUUCCUAGGAUCCAAUCUGGAUUGGUCACCGGGACCAGAGGUUUAGUCUUUCAAGCUUUUGGACUUGUGCUGAAGCCCAUCUUCAGGAAACGUUUUCUCCCCAGAAUAUGUAUUUUUCUCCUAUAUAUUAUUUUACAAAAUAUAGUUCUAAAUUAAGGCG
Molecule: long non-coding RNA, 536 nt
Organism: Pantherophis guttatus
Lineage: Eukaryota; Metazoa; Chordata; Lepidosauria; Squamata; Colubridae
Source: RefSeq, a predicted model, not a curated record